UGUUUGGUUUUAAUUUUGAAC
RNAcentral lists this non-coding RNA (21 nucleotides) under Caenorhabditis elegans. The record is from RNAcentral. Lineage: Eukaryota; Metazoa; Nematoda; Chromadorea; Rhabditida; Rhabditidae.